This 366-nucleotide ribosomal RNA is filed under the name uncultured bacterium. RNAcentral describes it as "bacterial SSU rRNA". It matches the Rfam family "Bacterial small subunit ribosomal RNA", at positions 527 to 893 of the family's 1533-position model. The record is from RNAcentral.
GUAGGCAGCGAGCGUUGUUCGGAAUUAUUGGGCGUAAAGAGUGUGUAGGCGGUGCUCCAAGUCUGUCGUGAAAUCUCCCGGCUUAACUGGGAGGGUGCGGCGGAAACUGGAAUGCUAGAGGGUGGGAGAGGUAAGCGGAAUUCCUGGUGUAGCGGUGAAAUGCGUAGAUAUCAGGAGGAACACCUGUGGUGUAGACAGCUUACUGGACCACUUCUGACGCUGAGACACGAAAGCGUGGGUAGCAAACAGGAUUAGAUACCCUGGUAGUCCACGCCCUAAACGACGCAUACUUGGUGUGAGCGAUUCAUUUCGUUCGUGCCGGAGCUAACGCGUUAAGUAUGCCGCCUGGGGAGUACGGUCGCAAGG